AGGUGUCGAACCCAAGGGCUCUUCUCAGCAGAGUGUCUGCAUGCCACACUCUGCUUUAGAGUCUGUUCCCUGGGGAACACAACCAGAGACUGAAAUAAUUGGUGGGCAGUGGGGAGCACAAAGGGCUGUUUUUGUUUCAUGUGAAGACGAUGAGCAUGCUAUGAACCCCGAAGAGCUGUUGUAUAAAGUAUCUGCCUGGAAACCCUGUUGCCUGGAGACCACUCUUGAAGAACAUCCACUGCUGUGGCCUCUUAAAGAUUUAAGACAUCUAAUGAACAGCUGACAGAAAUCAUCAAUUUGCUCCUCAGUUUAAGUGCAGCAGGGCUCAAA
This 330-nucleotide long non-coding RNA is filed under the name Homo sapiens (human). Its description in RNAcentral is "non-protein coding CYYR1-AS1:3". Lineage: Eukaryota; Metazoa; Chordata; Mammalia; Primates; Hominidae. The record is from RNAcentral.